UGGGGAAUAUUGCACAAUGGGGGGAACCCGUGAUGCAGCGACGCCGCGUGAGUGAAGAAGUAUUUCGGUAUGUAAAGCUCUAUCAGCAGGGAAGAAAAUGACGGUACCUGACUAAGAAGCCCCGGCUAACUACGUGCC
Molecule: ribosomal RNA, 138 nt
Filed under: uncultured bacterium
Lineage: Bacteria
Description: partial 16S ribosomal RNA
Rfam family: Bacterial small subunit ribosomal RNA
Source: RNAcentral